GAUGAACGCUGGCGGCGUGCCUAAUACAUGCAAGUCGAGCGAACAGACGAGGAGCUUGCUCCUCUGACGUUAGCGGCGGACGGGUGAGUAACACGUGGAUAACCUACCUAUAAGACUGGGAUAACUUCGGGAAACCGGAGCUAAUACCGGAUAAUAUAUUGAACCGCAUGGUUCAAUAGUGAAAGACGGUUUUGCUGUCACUUAUAGAUGGAUCCGCGCUGCAUUAGCUAGUUGGUAAGGUAACGGCUUACCAAGGCAACGAUGCGUAGCCGACCUGAGAGGGUGAUCGGCCACACUGGAACUGAGACACGGUCCAGACUCCUACGGGAGGCAGCAGUAGGGAAUCUUCCGCAAUGGGCGAAAGCCUGACGGAGCAACGCCGCGUGAGUGAUGAAGGUCUUCGGAUCGUAAAACUCUGUUAUUAGGGAAGAACAAAUGUGUAAGUAACUAUGCACGUCUUGACGGUACCUAAUCAGAAGGCAACGGCUAACUACGUG
This 497-nucleotide ribosomal RNA is filed under the name uncultured bacterium. RNAcentral describes it as "partial 16S ribosomal RNA". It matches the Rfam family "Bacterial small subunit ribosomal RNA", at positions 28 to 507 of the family's 1533-position model. The record is from RNAcentral.